RNAcentral lists this ribosomal RNA (571 nucleotides) under Enterobacter sp. RNAcentral's name for it is "bacterial SSU rRNA". It matches the Rfam family "Bacterial small subunit ribosomal RNA", at positions 70 to 602 of the family's 1533-position model. Lineage: Bacteria; Pseudomonadati; Pseudomonadota; Gammaproteobacteria; Enterobacterales; Enterobacteriaceae. The record is from RNAcentral.
UAACACAGAGAGCUUGCUCUCGGGUGACGAGCGGCGGACGGGUGAGUAAUGUCUGGGAAACUGCCUGAUGGAGGGGGAUAACUACUGGAAACGGUAGCUAAUACCGCAUAACGUCGCAAGACCAAAGUGGGGGACCUUCGGGCCUCAUGCCAUCAGAUGUGCCCAGAUGGGAUUAGCUAGUAGGUGGGGUAAUGGCUCACCUAGGCGACGAUCCCUAGCUGGUCUGAGAGGAUGACCAGCCACACUGGAACUGAGACACGGUCCAGACUCCGGUACGGGAGGCAGCAGUGGGGAAUAUUGCACAAUGGGCGCAAGCCUGAUGCAGCCAUGCCGCGUGUAUGAAGAAGGCCUUCGGGUUGUAAAGUACUUUCAGCGAGGAGGAAGGCGUUAAGGUUAAUAACCUUAGCGAUUUUAUCCUUUGUUGCCAGCGGUUCGGCCGGGACGUUACUCGCAGAAGAAGCACCGGCUAACUCCGUGCCAGCAGCCGCGGUAAUACGGAGGGUGCAAGCGUUAAUCGGAAUUACUGGGCGUAAAGCGCCGCAGGCNNNCUGUCAAGUCGGAUGUGAAAUCC